Molecule: ribosomal RNA, 253 nt
Filed under: uncultured bacterium
Lineage: Bacteria
Description: partial 16S ribosomal RNA
Rfam family: Bacterial small subunit ribosomal RNA
Source: RNAcentral
GACAGAGGCCUCAAGCGUUAGGCGGAAUCCCUGGGCUUAAAGCGUGUGUAGGCGGAUCGUUAAGUGUCUUGUGAAAUCCCACGGCUCACCCGUGGAACUGCUGGGCAUACUGGCGAUCUUGGGCCAACUAGGGGCAACUGGAACAAGCGGUGGAGCGGUGAAAUGCGUAGAUAUCGCUUGGAACGCCAAAGGUGAAAACAGGUGCUGGGGUUGUGCCGACGCUGGAGACACGAAAGCCAGGGGAGCAAACGGG